Molecule: long non-coding RNA, 2016 nt
Filed under: Mus musculus (house mouse)
Lineage: Eukaryota; Metazoa; Chordata; Mammalia; Rodentia; Muridae
Description: long non-coding RNA chr5:77284415-77286431
Source: RNAcentral
AUUGUCACUGUCCUGGAGGUCCUCUGGAGACACUGAGAAGCUGCAUGUAUGUACUCCAGAGCCUGGUUUCUGUGCUCUCCAGAACAUGAAAGCGCCCAGCAUGGACGUUGCUUACUGGGAGUAGUAAAUUAAGUAUGAGCCCAGUAGGGAGUUGUGACGUUUUGAUGGAAUAACCUCGUGUAUUUCAUUUAUUUUCCUGGCGAUCUCUGAGCAGGCUUCAGAUUUUGACAGUUAUGAAAGAUCCAAGCAUUAAUGUGUGGGUGAAAAGCUUGGUGAAAUUCUGAGUGAAGUCUUAGUUAAAGUUGGUUGAACUUGGAAUUGACUGGGAGGCCAAAGAUUUAAAAAGCAGAUUUUCUCAAGACACAGUUGUGUGAUAAUGGUGUGUGCUUCGUGUGUGUGCGUGAGACUUUGUAAAUGUUGAAUUCUAGGCUCCGACAAUCAUUGUAGUGCAGAUCAGACUGCAGAAUAUUUAUGUUUUAAAUUUAAAUUAUAAAGCUAGUUAAGUCUUCUAACAACUAGUUUUAAUGUUCAUGAGCAAAUUUUGCCUACAUUACCUUUUCAAGAUGUUGAAAAAGAUGCUUCCGCAAGCCCAGGUUGGAAGCUGGGAGGUGGGUGGUUCUAGGAGAGAUCUUUGUGGAUUCAUUCUUACUCAAUGCCUUCUGGGAUUGAGUAAGUUUUAAUCUAUUCUGUAAGAUUAAAAGGAAAAAAACAAAAACACAAUGGAAAUUAAAACCUCAUUAAAUUAGUCUUUAAAAACAUUGUUACCUGAGAUUGAGUGGGACUUUUGAGGGCUUUGUUCCAGAAAACAAGGACCGGGUCCUCGGGCCUACAUUAGGCCUGACCCCGGAGCCAUGUGUUUGUGCCUAAAAUCAUCUCAGUGGGAAGUAUCUUAGUGACUCUAGAGACUCCCGGGACAGUGGGGGGGUCUUCCAUUUGAAAACUGUGAUACUUGCAUGGGAUUGUUUGAAUCUUGUUUCCUAGUCUCCCUUUCCCCAUCACUACCCUCAUAGUCUGAAGGUAGAUUUUUCUCUUGAUAAAGGAACACAAAAAUGAACAUCUUACUUGUAAAUUGAUAUCUAGUAACUAGUGGUAAACUUGAAAUGGUAGCAUUCUUUACAGCUUAAUCCUAGGUAGCCUUAGAGAAAUGUGUCUUUAUUAUUUCUGAACCUGCAUCCAUCUUGUCUGCCCAAGCUGUCUUAAGUUAUGUUUCCUUUUUUCAGAGCUGCUUUUUAUUUUGGGGCUACUUUUUUUUUUUUUUAAUUGAGGCGUAAAUCAUAAAAGACUACAUUGCUUUGAUGAGAGACUUUUUACACCGUCAGGUUGUCUUUGUCUAGUCUUCCAAGAAGGGUCAUUGUGCUUUUUUAGAUAAAUCCUGACAUGGGCUACUUCAGAUGCAAAGUAAAACCCAAGCUCUCACCUCACGUGUUUCACUCUGAAUGUGGCCAGCGGAAGACACGACUUGCCUGUUAGCACACUGUUACUUGUAAACGGAAAUGCUGAAGACACUCAGCUUUCUUUACAGAAAAUCAAGGUUUCCUGAUGACUGGGCACAUGAGGUGAGCUGACAGUCUUGGUUCAGGGUGAUCGGAUUGUGUAGACUGACAGUCUGUGUACUGCUGGCUAAGUGUGAUAGCAUCUGCAGUUCUCUCCCUCCCGGUAGUUACUGAACUCUUUAAAACUGGUAUUGUGACGUUACAACAAUGUUUUGCGCCAAUUUUAUAAACCUUUACAGUGCAAUAUGUGUUACUUUUCUGAGGCAAACCAAAGGUAUAUUUCUCAAGGUUCUGCUGCCAUCAGCAGCAUUUGAUGGAGGAUUUUUUUUAUACAUUUGUAAUAGGUAGAGAUGAAACAGAUUGCAGUUUGUUUUUUGUUAUUUUUUUUUUUUUAAAUUGUAAACCAUGUACCAGGUUUCUGGUCAAGAUUGUGUAGGAUAAGUUAAACAUAAUUGCAUUCUAUUAACCAAUAUGAGUGUAUUUCUUAUGCAUAUAGUUACAUUGAAAUAAAGUUCUAAAAACU